UUCCGGUUGAUCCCGCCGGAGGCUACUGCUAUUGGAAUUCGACUAAGCCAUGCGAGUCAAGGUGUCUUCGGACGCCGGCAAACGGCUCAGUAACACGUAGGUAAUCUACCCUCAGGACUGAGAUAACCCCGGGAAACUGGGGCUAAUACCAGAUAGAUAAAAGAUACUGGAAUGUUCUUUUAUCCAAAGCUUUUGUGCCUGAGGAUGAGCCUGCGCCCGAUUAGGUAGUUGGUGGGGUAAUGGCCCACCAAGCCUGCGAUCGGUACGGGCAGUGGGAGCUGUAGCCCGGAGUUGGGGACUGAGACAAGGCCCCAGGCCCCACGGGGCGCAGCAGGCGCGAAACCUCUGCAAUGCAGGAAACCGUGACAGGGGGAUUCCAAGUGCUCAUGCAUUGCAUGGGCUGUUCUUUGGUCUAAGUAACCAGAGGAGUAAGGGCUGGGCAAGACCGGUGCCAGCCGCCGCGGUAAUACCGGCAGCUCGAGUGGUAGCCGCGAUUAUUGGGCCUAAAACGUUCGUAGCCGGAUAAGUAAGUCUUUGGUUAAAUCCUACGACUUAACCGUGGGAAAUCUAGAGAUACUGCUUGUCUUGAGACCGGGAGAGGUUGGAGGUACUCCCAGGGUAGGGGUGAAAUCCUGUAAUCCUGGGGGGACCACCUGUGGCGAAGGCGUCCAACUGGAACGGCUCUGACGGUGAGGGACGAAACCUAGGGGAGCGAGCCGGAUUAGAUACCCGGGUAGUCCUAGGCGUAAAUGAUGCGAGUUAAGUGUGGGGGCAUCUACGAGAUGGCCCUGUGCUGUAGGGUAGCCGUUAAACUCGCUGCCUGGGGAGUACGGUCGCAAGGCUGAAACUUAAAGGAAUUGGCGGGGGAGCACCACAAGAGGUGGAGGCUGCGGUUCAAUUGGAUUCAACGCCGGG
Molecule: ribosomal RNA, 915 nt
Filed under: archaeon enrichment culture clone C3-26C-A
Lineage: Archaea
Description: bacterial SSU rRNA
Rfam family: Archaeal small subunit ribosomal RNA
Source: RNAcentral